This 72-nucleotide transfer RNA is filed under the name Phrynosoma platyrhinos (Desert horned lizard). RNAcentral describes it as "tRNA-OTHER". Lineage: Eukaryota; Metazoa; Chordata; Lepidosauria; Squamata; Phrynosomatidae. The record is from RNAcentral.
GCCAGUGUGGCAUAGUGGUUUGAGUGCUGGACUAUGACUCUGGGGACCUGGAUUUGAUUCCCAGCUUGGCCA